RNAcentral lists this ribosomal RNA (321 nucleotides) under uncultured bacterium. RNAcentral describes it as "bacterial SSU rRNA". It matches the Rfam family "Bacterial small subunit ribosomal RNA", at positions 28 to 346 of the family's 1533-position model. The record is from RNAcentral.
GACGAACGCUGGCGGCGUGCUUAACACAUGCAAGUCGAGCGGUAAGGCCCUUUCGGGGUACGACGAGCGGCGAACGGGUGAGUAACACGUGGGUGACCUGCCCUCCAGCUCUGGGAGUAAGCCUGGGAAACCGGGGUACUAAUACUGGAUAUGACUCCAUGACGCAUGUUGUGGGGUGGAAAGCCUUGUGCGGCUGAGGAUGGGCCCGCGGCCUAUCAGCUUGUUGGUGGGGUGAUGGCCUACCAAGGCGACGACGGGUAGCCGGCCUGAGAGGGCGACCGGCCACACUGGGACUGAGACACGGCCCAGACUCCUACGGGA